Molecule: ribosomal RNA, 381 nt
Filed under: uncultured bacterium
Lineage: Bacteria
Description: bacterial SSU rRNA
Rfam family: Bacterial small subunit ribosomal RNA
Source: RNAcentral
AACGAACGCUGGCGGCGUGGAUAAGACAUGCAAGUCGAACGCUGAUUCAAGGGUAGCAAUAUUCUUGAGUUGGAGUGGCGAAAGGGUGCGUAACACGUGGGCAAUCUGCCGUGAAGUUGGGGAUAACUCGCUGAAAGGCGAGCUAAUACCGGAUACGACUUUUGGAAGGCAUCUUCCGAAAUUCAAAGUUGGGGACCGUAAGGCCUGACGCUUCAUUGAUGAGCCCGCGGCCUAUCAGCUAGUUGGUGAGGUAACGGCUCACCAAGGCUAAGACGGGUAGCUGGUCUGAGAGGACGACCAGCCACACUGGGAACGUGAGACACGGGUCCAGACACCUACGGGUGGCAGCAGUCGAGAAUUUUUCUCAAUGGGCGAAAGCCU